Molecule: ribosomal RNA, 200 nt
Filed under: uncultured bacterium
Lineage: Bacteria
Description: partial 16S ribosomal RNA
Rfam family: Bacterial small subunit ribosomal RNA
Source: RNAcentral
AGAGUUUGAUCCUGGCUCAGAACGAACGCUGGCGGCAUGCCUAAUACAUGCAAGUCGAACGAGAUCUUCGGAUCUAGUGGCGCACGGGUGCGUAACGCGUGGGAAUCUGCCCUUGGGUUCGGAAUAACAGUUAGAAAUGACUGCUAAUACCGGAUGAUGACGUAAGUCCAAAGAUUUAUCGCCCAAGGAUGAGCCCGCGU